Oreochromis aureus is the source of this 676-nucleotide long non-coding RNA. NCBI's taxonomy places the organism in Eukaryota, Metazoa, Chordata, Actinopteri, Cichliformes, Cichlidae. The record is from Ensembl.
AUUCUACAGCGGAUGAUGUCGGACUCGGCUGAAGCGAGUGGCUGUUUUAUGAAAUGGACAUAUUCCCAUCUCUUCACUUUUCUGAAACAAGCAGACAAGAACAUUACAGUAAUAUGCAAGCUAUGUCCUGGGGAGAAAAAACUAUCGGCCGGUGUUAAUAGCGAGAGCAUAGACGAACACUUCUGAGUGAUCCUUGUUCAUCAUCCAUGGAUAACACCGCAGCAACUCCUGCUAAGCAGCAAAACUUGAUUUUAGUUCAGCAGCACAGAAAGCGUCUGAAGACAGCCCUGCUAAUAAGGAGGAACUACACCAGGAGCAAACAAGACUGGGGCAACAGAAAGAACCACUCAUACAAGACGUUCCCACAAGGUGGAAUUCAACGCUGGAUAUGGUUUCUCAUCUACAAAAGGAUCAAGAGGCUGUUUUUGCUGCUUUAGACAUCCAAAAGAACAAGCUGGUUUGUGUGCUUCUUGGAGGUGAGACAUAUGUCUCAUGUUCAGUGGUUGAACCUGCUUUCUGCCACCUGGUCUCCGAUGACUUAAACUACAAUGUGAAAUUUAAGACCUAUCCCAACGUGCAGCUACACUCAGCCAUCAGUGGCUCAAGAUAGCUACUGUGCUUGACCCACGCUUUAAGGAUUUAAAGUGUCUUGCAAGGGGAGAGCGAGAAGAGGUUU